CUCAACUGAUUUGAACUGAUUUAUCUUAUAACUGGAAGUUUGAACCUUUCUACUAACUUCAUCCAAUUCCUUCUCCUCUCAGCCUCCUGCCUCUGCUGUUCCACCUACAGACCUGUGUUCAAGGCUGGAAGAAGAGGACAGGAGAAAGGACCUAUGCCAACCACAUCUUUGAAAAACACAGACUCUAUCUUUGGACUCAUUGACUGCACCUGGAUUAUAUAGGAAUUCUUCCAAAGAAGGCUUGGAAAUUAGGGAAAGGGAAUAUAAUAACUGGCCUAAAUGAAUUACAAACUCAUCCCUUGGGUCUUGGCACCUGGCUGUUCUGAAUAAAGGUGGCAUGGAUGUUGCGCAGCCAUUGUCAAUAUGUCACACUCUUCUGUGUCCCUCUAGGUCAUUUGCUUUAAGUAGUUGAGUAGAUACCCCAUAGAUUUAUAAUCAAUUGCUUAACUAUUUUCUCUUGCAAUUAAAUCAUAGCUUCUGUAGGGCAGGAACUGUGUCUUAUAUGCUCUUCUAUUAUGCAAUUUAUCAUAGGGCCUAAAAUAUAAAUGUUGCUGAGCAUUCUAUUGAAUUGAAUUAAGUGCCUUGAGCUUAAGUGCAUUGCCUGUGUUGAAUUAUAGAAUUAUAAGAAUAGAGUACUAAUAUAGUAUUAUAGUUUAGAGGUGUGAGUGACCAUAUUAACUUUUGGGUGGGGGAAAAAAAAAGGGAUUUACAGUGUAUCUCAAGGAAUGGAUAAGAUCCUAGUCUGAUUUAGUUUUACAUAGCACCCAUGGCACCUAGCCCAGUGUAUUUCAAUGUUCCUUGAACUGAAUUGAAUU
Molecule: long non-coding RNA, 815 nt
Filed under: Capra hircus (goat)
Lineage: Eukaryota; Metazoa; Chordata; Mammalia; Artiodactyla; Bovidae
Description: lncRNA (ENSCHIG00000004789.1)
Source: RNAcentral